RNAcentral lists this ribosomal RNA (788 nucleotides) under uncultured bacterium. Its description in RNAcentral is "bacterial SSU rRNA". It matches the Rfam family "Bacterial small subunit ribosomal RNA", at positions 10 to 795 of the family's 1533-position model. The record is from RNAcentral.
AGUUUGAUCCUGGCUCAGGAUGAACGCUAGCGGCAGGCCUUAUACAUGCAAGUCGAGGGGCAGCAGGACACUUCGGUGUUGCUGGCGACCGGCGAACGGGUGAGUAAUACGCAUGUAAUCUACCUUGUACUGGAGAAUAGCUUCCAGAAGUGGAAAUUAAUACACCAUAAAAUCUUAGCAGCGCAUGCUGUUAAGCUAAAAGCUCCGGCGGUACAAGAUGAGCGUGCGUCCUAUUAGCUAGUUGGUGAGGUAAAAGCUCACCAAGGCUACGAUAGGUAGGGGUUCUUAGUGGAAGGUCCCCCACACUGGCACUGAGAUACGGGCCAGACUCCUACGGGAGGCAGCAGUAAGGAAUAUUGGUCAAUGGGCGCAAGCCUGAACCAGCCAUGCCGCGUGCAGGAUGAAGGCCCUCAGGGUUGUAAACUGCUUUUGUACAGGAACAAAAAGCUUCUGCGGAAGCUACUGAGUGUACUGUAAGAAUAAGCACUGGCUAACUCCGUGCCAGCAGCCGCGGUAAUACGGAGAGUGCAAGCGUUAUCCGAAUUUAUUGGGUUUAAAGGGUGUGUAGGCGGCUUUUCAAGUCAGUGGUGAAAGCCUAGCGCUUAACGCUAGAAGUGCUAUUGAUACUGUAAGGCUUGAGUCAAGAAAAGGUAGUAGAAUUUAUGAUGUAGUAGUGAAAUGCUUAGAUAUCAUAAGGAAUGCCAGUAGCGAAAGCAGCUUACUAGUCUUCGACUGACGCUGAGGCACGAAAGCGUGGGGAGCAAACAGGAUUAGAUACCCUGGUAGUC